GGGGGCGACUGGUUUCGACAUGGGUGGUCUGAGGUGAGGAGCAGGUCGUGGUCUCCUCGCCACGUUAAACAGGGGUACUGUCAAAAUUAAUUGGCAAGAAGAACUACACUGGGCAGUACGCCCUCGCCGCAUAACAUAAGUCGGCGCGUCAAUCCCGGAUUCUUUCCCGCCCCGGGUGCGAUGUCAUUUUAGGGAAAUGCUCUUCGGCACGUAGACGGUAUGGCCGAAGCUAAGACCGAACCGACUCGAGGCUGCAACGCCCGUCGUUGCGCCGAGCAGCCUUCAAACGAGAGCAUCGACUAAGCUUGUAGAGCCUGACCAGGGAUCAUCUAUGGACCGGAGUUCGAUUCUCCGCGCCUCCACCA
Molecule: transfer-messenger RNA, 365 nt
Filed under: Eggerthellaceae
Lineage: Bacteria; Bacillati; Actinomycetota; Coriobacteriia; Eggerthellales
Also listed under: 1 other name
Description: UBA9715 sp003452695 Standard tmRNA
Rfam family: transfer-messenger RNA
About the family: Bacterial tmRNA, also known as 10Sa RNA or SsrA, is named for its dual tRNA and mRNA-like properties. Its role is to liberate the mRNA from a stalled ribosome. To accomplish this part of the tmRNA is used as a reading frame that ends in a translation stop signal.
Source: RNAcentral